GAAAUGCGAUAAUUAAUGUGAAUUGCAGAAUUCAGUGAAUCAUCGAGUCUUUGAACGCACAUUGCGCCCCCUGGUAUUCCGGGGGGCAUGCCUGUCCGAGCGUCAUUGCUGCCCUCAAGCACGGCUUGUGUGUUGGGCUUCCGUCCCUGGCAACGGGGACGGGCCCAAAAGGCAGUGGCGGCACCAUGUCUGGUCCUCGAGCGUAUGGGGCUUUGUCACCCGCUCCCGUAGGUCCAGCUGGCAGCUAGCCUCGCAACCAAUCUUUUUAACCAGGUUGACCUCGGAUCAGGUAGAGAUACGCGCUGAACUUAAGC
This 314-nucleotide unclassified non-coding RNA is filed under the name plant metagenome. RNAcentral describes it as "partial contains 5.8S ribosomal RNA, internal transcribed spacer 2, and large subunit ribosomal RNA". The stretch from base 1 to 105 matches the Rfam family "5.8S ribosomal RNA", at positions 50 to 154 of the family's 154-position model. The record is from RNAcentral.